Molecule: ribosomal RNA, 379 nt
Filed under: uncultured Flavobacteriaceae bacterium
Lineage: Bacteria; Pseudomonadati; Bacteroidota; Flavobacteriia; Flavobacteriales; Flavobacteriaceae
Description: bacterial SSU rRNA
Rfam family: Bacterial small subunit ribosomal RNA
Source: RNAcentral
GUAAUACGGAGGAUCCAAGCGUUAUCCGGAAUCAUUGGGUUUAAAGGGUCCGUAGGCGGUUUGAUAAGUCAGUGGUGAAAGCCCAUCGCUCAACGAUGGAACGGCCAUUGAUACUGUCAGACUUGAAUUACUAGGAAGUAACUAGAAUAUGUAGUGUAGCGGUGAAAUGCUUAGAUAUUACAUGGAAUACCAAUUGCGAAGGCAGGUUACUACUAGUGGAUUGACGCUGAUGGACGAAAGCGUGGGGAGCGAACAGGAUUAGAUACCCUGGUAGUCCACGCCGUAAACGAUGGAUACUAGCUGUUGGGCGUAAGUUCAGUGGCUAAGCGAAAGUGAUAAGUAUCCCACCUGGGGAGUACGAACGCAAGUUUGAAACUCA